Molecule: ribosomal RNA, 240 nt
Filed under: uncultured bacterium
Lineage: Bacteria
Description: partial 16S ribosomal RNA
Rfam family: Bacterial small subunit ribosomal RNA
Source: RNAcentral
GAUCAUGGCUCAGGAUGAACGCUGGCGGCGUGCCUAACACAUGCAAGUCGAGCGAUUCUCUUCGGAGAAGAGCGGCGGACGGGUGAGUAACGCGUGGGUAACCUGCCCUGUACACACGGAUAACAUACCGAAAGGUAUGCUAAUACGAGAUAACAUAAGAAAUUCGCAUGUUUUUCUUAUCAAAGCUCCGGCGGUACAGGGAUGGACCCGCGUCUGAUUAGCUAGUUGGUGAGGUAAUGG